GUUGGUAAGGCGGGUCCGCGGACCCCAGGUCGAGCCCAGCGGCAGUGCAGGAUCGCAAGCGGCCCGGCACCGGCGCCGCAGGUUACAAAAACCUGAGACUUCCAUUUUGCUGGAAACUUCUUUUCCUCUUGCACACUCACUCUGCGACUCUGUGUGGAGAGCUCCAUGUGACAAGGGAGGUCUGCAGCCUAAGCAACUGAGACCUCAGCCCAACAGCCCUCAAAGAACUGGAUCUUCAAACAACCACAUGAGUGACCUAGAAGCAAAUCUGUCACCAGUGCUCUUGAGACGGAGAAAAGAUCAUGAUCUAAGAGUCUACAAGACCAGAGCAGCCUGAAUUGCUGAGCUGCCUGGUGGAGAAUAGCAGCAUUGGGUGGUUCCCAGGAUUCUUAAAAGGACUUUACAAAGGAUUAGGUUGAGGUUCUGCAUUUUUGGCAAGAAUACCACAGAUGUGAUGCUGUACCUUUCUCAGUGCAGCCUAUGAGGUGGUUCAUGAAGAAAAUGUAUCAUAUUAUCAGUGAAUGUUAUCCUCGUUCCCUUAGUGAAGGUGGUACCUGCCAGCUUCUACACUGUAAUGGGUAUUCUUAUUAAAUCUGAUUAUCACUCUUCUAAUUGCUACUGAAACCAGGAAAAAAAAGCUCAGAAAAGAUGUCAUAUAUCUUCAAAUUGUUUAAAUAAAAUUAAUCACAGAU
This 692-nucleotide long non-coding RNA is filed under the name Homo sapiens (human). RNAcentral describes it as "PREDICTED lncRNA (TCONS_00166408)". The record is from RNAcentral. Lineage: Eukaryota; Metazoa; Chordata; Mammalia; Primates; Hominidae.